UGUCCUCAUAGCCUCCUGAAAUCGUCGCCGCGUCACUAUCCUCUCCACCUCCGCUACUCCGACGAAACUUCCACCCUACGUAUCGAGCUUCGGUCACGUGUCACAAAUCACAACCAACUUCUGCGGAGGGUGACACAAUCGGACGGGGAUAACAGUCAGUGCUGUAGCAUUUCGUAAGGGUUCUGAAGGAGGCACGAGGAAGGGAACGACAAGGGAAAGACAAGUUCAUAUCCCUGUGAUAAUGUGAGAUCCGUGAGGAUUUGGGGGUCGAUGAUUGGAUUCGGUGUUUGGAAGGAGGUGAUGUACUUGUCUUCUGUACAAUGUAAGGUUCCUCGCAGUGUUCUUUUGGAUCGCAAUUGCAGCAUCGUAAGAUUUGGAGCAAGGUUAUGUGACCGGUUCAUUAAGAUGUGGAUUCUGAUUUACAAGUCCGGUUCUUCUCCUUGAUAGCUUGAGAUGAUUUGCUUGCUUCUAUUAUUUCCAAAUGUUUCAACUAGAUGCUGGUGGUCUAAACCUUGGUGAAUCACAUUUUUGUUCCUUCUGUUGCUUUUGAAAUGCUGGUUAGAUUGGAAUAUGUGGACCCAAUUUGAUGUUGUUUUGAAGAUGUUAUUGGUUCCUUGUUGUUAA
Molecule: long non-coding RNA, 624 nt
Organism: Zingiber officinale
Lineage: Eukaryota; Viridiplantae; Streptophyta; Magnoliopsida; Zingiberales; Zingiberaceae
Exons: 3
Source: RefSeq, a predicted model, not a curated record